AGUGAACGCUGGCGGUAGGCCUAACACAUGCAAGUCGAACGGCAGCACAGUAAGAGCUUGCUCUUACGGGUGGCGAGUGGCGGACGGGUGAGGAAUACAUCGGAAUCUACUUUUUCGUGGGGGAUAACGUAGGGAAACUUACGCUAAUACCGCAUACGACCUACGGGUGAAAGCAUGGGAUCUUCGGACCUUGCGCGAUUGAAUGAGCCGAUGUCGGAUUAGCUAGUUGGCGGGGUAAAGGCCCACCAAGGCGACGAUCCGUAGCUGGUCUGAGAGGAUGAUCAGCCACACUGGAACUGAGACACGGUCCAGACUCCUACGGGAGGCAGCAGUGGGGAAUAUUGGACAAUGGGCGAAAGCCUGAUCCAGCCAUACCGCGUGGGUGAAGAAGGCCUUCGGGUUGUAAAGCCCUUUUGUUGGGAAAGAAAAGCAGCAGGUUGAUACCCCGCUGUUCUGACGGUACCCAAAGAAUAAGCACCGGCUAACUUCGUG
This 492-nucleotide ribosomal RNA is filed under the name uncultured bacterium. RNAcentral describes it as "partial 16S ribosomal RNA". It matches the Rfam family "Bacterial small subunit ribosomal RNA", at positions 29 to 507 of the family's 1533-position model. The record is from RNAcentral.